CCUACGGGAGGCAGCAGUAGGGAAUCUNCGCAAUGGACGCAAGUCUGACGGAGCAACGCCGCGUGAGUGACGAAGGUUUUCGGAUCGUAAAACUCUGUUGUGAGGGAAGAACAAGUACCAACUAACUACUGGUACCGUGACGGUACCUCACCAGAAAGCCACGGCUAACUACGUGCCAGCAGCCGCGGUAAUACGUAGGUGGCAAGCGUUGUCCGGAAUUAUUGGGCGUAAAGCGCGCGCAGGCGGUCCUUUAAGUCUGAUGUGAAAGCCCACGGCUCAACCGUGGAGGGUCAUUGGAAACUGGAGGACUUGAGUGCAGAAGAGGAAAGUGGAAUUCCACGUGUAGCGGUGAAAUGCGUAGAGAUGUGGAGGAACACCAGUGGCGAAGGCGACUUUCUGGUCUGUAACUGACGCUGAGGCGCGAAAGCGUGGGGAGCAAACAGGAUUAGAUACCCUGGUAGUCCACGCCGUAAACGAUGAGUGCUAAGUGUUAGGGGGUUUCCGCCCCUUAGUGCUGCAGCUAACGCAUUAAGCACUCCGCCUGGGGAGUACGGCCGCAAGGCUGAAACUCAAAUGAAUUGACGGGG
This 587-nucleotide ribosomal RNA is filed under the name uncultured Planococcus sp. Its description in RNAcentral is "bacterial SSU rRNA". It matches the Rfam family "Bacterial small subunit ribosomal RNA", at positions 338 to 918 of the family's 1533-position model. The record is from RNAcentral. Lineage: Bacteria; Bacillati; Bacillota; Bacilli; Caryophanales; Caryophanaceae.